This 248-nucleotide ribosomal RNA is filed under the name uncultured bacterium. RNAcentral describes it as "partial 16S ribosomal RNA". It matches the Rfam family "Bacterial small subunit ribosomal RNA", at positions 84 to 334 of the family's 1533-position model. The record is from RNAcentral.
ACCGAUGGCGACCGGCGCACGGGUGAGUAACACGUAUCCAACCUGCCCUUUACUCGGGAUAGCCUUUCGAAAGAAAGAUUAAUACCCGAUAGCAUAAUGAUUCCGCAUGGUUUCAUUAUUAAAGGAUUCCGGUAAAGGAUGGGGAUGCGUUCCAUUAGGUUGUUGGUGAGGUAACGGCUCACCAAGCCUUCGAUGGAUAGGGGUUCUGAGAGGAAGGUCCCCCACAUUGGAACUGAGACACGGUCCAA